This is a long non-coding RNA of Sarcophilus harrisii (Tasmanian devil), 1348 nucleotides long. RefSeq lists it as uncharacterized. NCBI's taxonomy places the organism in Eukaryota, Metazoa, Chordata, Mammalia, Dasyuromorphia, Dasyuridae. The record is from RefSeq and is a predicted model, not a curated record. The transcript is spliced from 2 exons.
UUUUUUUUCUAAAAAUCUUUCUUUCUAAAGUCUUUCUAAAAAAACUUGGAAACGGAAACUAAAAGGGAGGUCGCGCCGUGCGGCUUAGUUCAGCUGCUGAUUCAGACGCUUCCUGCCUGACCUUCGUUUGACCUCCCAGGGUCUCAAUUCUCUCAGGCGGGAAAUGGAAGACUUGGCAAAGAUGGCUUCUAAGAACCUAUAAUCUGGGAGCCUACGGACUUGUCUCCAGGACCCUCUCUGGCUGUCAGUCUGUCCUCCUGUUUCGGGCUACCAUGGCUGUAGUCUCCUGGUGCCCACUAGUGCCAGGAGAUAACGGAUGUGGGAGCGAAGGAAAGUUACAAGGCAACUGUUAAGAGUUGGGGCACUAAUGUUCUCUGGAUGCAGGAUGAACGCCUUGAAGAGGAACGAGGAAUGAGCAGAUCACUUUUUCUCCAGCCAGAAAUUUUGCCAUUUCUAAAAUAGCUUGAAGAAUUUUUCCUAACCCUUAGUAGGGUUGGUUCAAAAAUAAAAGGCAAUAAUUAGGCGUUCUGGAGUAAGAAGACUCGGUUCAACUGCUGCCUUUGGCUCAUAAUUGGCAUUCUAAGUCAUGGCAAAUUAUUUAACCUGUCAGUGUACCCAGAAAUUCUCGUAGGUUGUGGAGGUGUGCCAACCUGCGUUGGUAGAGGAAGCUUCCUUAUUCAACAUGCUUAGAAAAUCAAUUAUCUAGCCUGCACUCUGAACUUCUCUACUAUGCAGGAAAAGACUUUUUCCUGGAAGAUCACACUAGCCUGAUAAUUCAUACCUUGGAAGUAUCCUGACCCUUGUGACAGCUGUCUUGGAUUGGAUGACUCCUGUUGGAAUGUUCAUCUAAGGAGAAGAUGCAGCCAGCUAUGUCUUCAUUUCUUACCAGAGUGCACUCUAGACUUCUUUUCCAUAGCCAAACACUGGAUACUUUUACCUACUCUGCUCCUUACCCCACUUUACUUUUAUGUAUUAUCUUCUUCCAUUAAAAUGUAAGCUCUGUGAGGGCAAGAACUGUCCCUUUUUUUGCUUAUAGUUUUGUUCCUGGUACUUAAACCAUACCUGAAAUACAGGCAAUGCUUUAUCAUUGAACAGCUAUCUUGCUAGGUCAGAGUACAGGAAAAAACUAUGACCUCUUUAUUCUUAGAAGCUUUGCCUCCCUCAAUAUAGUCCAAGACUGCAUUAACUCUUUUGGUUGCCACAUUAUACUGCUGACUCAUACUAAGCUUCCAGUUCAUCAUAGCCUGCCUCUCCUAUUGUGUUCAGUUGGGUUCUGUACCUGACAUUGAACCCAUAACCAGAUAGAGGCAGUUGGAAAAGGAUCCUUAUCAUAUUUUUACAUUCACAA